Molecule: ribosomal RNA, 923 nt
Filed under: human gut metagenome
Description: bacterial SSU rRNA
Rfam family: Bacterial small subunit ribosomal RNA
Source: RNAcentral
GAAAACUACGGGCUCAACCCAUAAACUGCAGUUGAAACUGUUCAUCUUGAGUGAAGUGCAGAGGUUGGCGGAAUUCCGAGUGUAGCGGUGAAAUGCGUAGAUAUUCGGAGGAACACCGGUGGCGAAGGCGGCCAACUGGGCUUUAACUGACGCUGAGGCUCGAAAGUGUGGGGAGCAAACAGGAUUAGAUACCCUGGUAGUCCACACUGUAAACGAUGAUUGCUAGGUGUGGGGGGUCUGACCCCUUCCGUGCCGGAGCUAACGCAAUAAGCAAUCCACCUGGGGAGUACGACCGCAAGGUUGAAACUCAAAGGAAUUGACGGGGACCCGCACAAGCAGUGGAUUAUGUGGUUUAAUUCGAAGCAACGCGAAGAACCUUACCAGCACUUGACAUCCAACUAACGAAAUAGAGAUAUAUUAGGUGCCCUUCGGGGAAAGUUGAGACAGGUGGUGCAUGGUUGUCGUCAGCUCGUGUCGUGAGAUGUUGGGUUAAGUCCCGCAACGAGCGCAACCCUCGCCAUUAGUUGCUACGCAAGAGCACUCUAAUGGGACCGCUACCGACAAGGUGGAGGAAGGUGGGGACGACGUCAAAUCAUCAUGCCCCUUAUGUGCUGGGCUACACACGUAAUACAAUGGCCAUCAACAGAGAGAAGCAAUACCGCGAGGUGGAGCAAAACUUCAAAAAUGGUCUCAGUUCGGACUGCAGGCUGCAACCCGCCUGCACGAAGUUGGAAUUGCUAGUAAUCGUGGAUCAGCAUGCCACGGUGAAUACGUUCCCGGGUCUUGUACACACCGCCCGUCACACCAUGGGAGCCGGUAACACCCGAAGUCAGUAGUCUAACCGCAAGGAGGACGCUGCCGAAGGUGGGAUUGGCAACUGGGGUGAAGUCGUAACAAGGUAGCCGUAUCGGAAGGUGCGGCUG